RNAcentral lists this transfer RNA (69 nucleotides) under Urocitellus parryii (Arctic ground squirrel). Its description in RNAcentral is "Spermophilus parryii (Arctic ground squirrel) tRNA". It matches the Rfam family "tRNA". From Rfam's summary of the family: Transfer RNA (tRNA) molecules are approximately 80 nucleotides in length. Their secondary structure includes four short double-helical elements and three loops (D, anti-codon, and T loops). Further hydrogen bonds mediate the characteristic L-shaped molecular structure. tRNAs have two regions of fundamental functional importance: the anti-codon, which is responsible for specific mRNA codon recognition, and the 3' end, to which the tRNAs corresponding amino acid is attached (by aminoacyl-tRNA synthetases). tRNAs cope with the degeneracy of the genetic code in two manners: having more than one tRNA (with a specific anti-codon) for a particular amino acid; and 'wobble' base-pairing, i.e. permitting non-standard base-pairing at the 3rd anti-codon position. Lineage: Eukaryota; Metazoa; Chordata; Mammalia; Rodentia; Sciuridae. RNAcentral also lists the same sequence under 2 other names. The record is from Rfam by way of RNAcentral.
GGAGUUGUAGCUCAGUGGUAAAGUGCUUGCCUUGUAUGCAUGAGGCACUGGGUUCAAUCCUCAGCACCA